Molecule: ribosomal RNA, 253 nt
Filed under: uncultured bacterium
Lineage: Bacteria
Description: partial 16S ribosomal RNA
Rfam family: Bacterial small subunit ribosomal RNA
Source: RNAcentral
UACAGAGGGGGCAAGCGUUGUUCGGAAUUACUGGGCGUAAAGGGCGCGUAGGCGGCCUGCUAAGUCGAACGUGAAAUCCCCGAGCUCAACUCGGGAACUGCGUCCGAUACUGGCAGGCUUGAAUCCGGGAGAGGGAUGCGGAAUUCCAGGUGUAGCGGUGAAAUGCGUAGAUAUCUGGAGGAACACCGGUGGCGAAGGCAGCAUCCUGGACCGGCAUUGACGCUGAGGCGCGAAAGCCAGGGGAGCAAACGGG